RNAcentral lists this ribosomal RNA (809 nucleotides) under uncultured archaeon. Its description in RNAcentral is "bacterial SSU rRNA". It matches the Rfam family "Archaeal small subunit ribosomal RNA", at positions 127 to 922 of the family's 1478-position model. The record is from RNAcentral.
UAACCCCGAGAAAUUGGGGCUAAUAGGCGAUAGGUGUGAUGUCCUGGAAUGGUAUCACGCCCAAAGGUAUCCCAUACAUGUUUGGUAUACGCCUAAGGAUGGGGCUGCGGCCGAUCAGGCAGUUGGUGAGGUAAUGGCUCACCAAACCUUUGACCGGUACGGGCCAUGAGAGUGGUAGCCCGGAGAUGGACACUGAGACAAGGGUCCAGGCCCUACGGGGCGCAGCAGGCGCGAAACCUCCUCAAUGCACUAACGUGCGAAGGGGUUACCUCGAGUGCCACCUGAAGAAGGUGGCUUUUCCUUGGUCUAAAAAGCCUCGGGAAUAAGAGGGGGGCAAGACUGGUGUCAGCCGCCGCGGUAACACCAGCCCCUCGAGUGGUGGGGAUGAUUAUUUGGCCUAAAGCGUCCGUAGCCGGCCGGGUAAGUCUCCCGUUAAAUCCAGCGUCUCAAGCGUUGGACUGCGGGAGAUACUGCCUGGCUAGAGAGUGGGAGAGGUCAGCGGUAUUCUGGGGGUAGGGGCGAAAUCCUUUGAUCCCCGGAGGACCACCAGUGGCGAAGGCUGCUGACUAGAACACGUCUGACGGUCAGGGACGAAAGCUGGGGUAGCGAACCGGAUUAGAUACCCGGGUAGUCCCAGCCGUAAACGAUGCAUGCUAGGUGUUGGGUUGGCCACGAGCCACCCCAGUGCCGCAGGGAAGCCGUUAAGCAUGCCGCCUGGGAAGUACGAUCGCAAGGUUGAAACUUAAAGGAAUUGGCGGGGGAGCACCACCAGGCGUGAAGCCUGCGGUUUAAUUGGAGUCAACGCCGGG